UGGGGCCACGUGAGCAAAAUCCCAGUGAGC
RNAcentral lists this non-coding RNA (30 nucleotides) under Homo sapiens (human). The record is from RNAcentral. Lineage: Eukaryota; Metazoa; Chordata; Mammalia; Primates; Hominidae.